Molecule: small nucleolar RNA, 89 nt
Organism: Otolemur garnettii (small-eared galago)
Lineage: Eukaryota; Metazoa; Chordata; Mammalia; Primates; Galagidae
Source: Ensembl
UUCAUUGUUGUCUAUGAUGUAUUCCUGUUGGAACUGAAUCUGAGUGAUCUAACUCAAAUGUUCGUCACUACCACUGAGACAGCAAUGAC